RNAcentral lists this ribosomal RNA (590 nucleotides) under uncultured bacterium. RNAcentral's name for it is "partial 16S ribosomal RNA". It matches the Rfam family "Bacterial small subunit ribosomal RNA", at positions 355 to 1375 of the family's 1533-position model. The record is from RNAcentral.
UGGGGAAUUUUGGACAAUGGGCGAAAGCCUGAUCCAGCAAUGCCGCGUGUGUGAAGAAGGCCUUCGGGUUGUAAAGCACUUUUGUCCGGAAAGAAAUCCUUGGCUCUAAUACAGUCGGGGGAUGACGGUACCGGAAGAAUAAGCACCGGCUAACUACGUGCCAGCAGCCGCGGUAAUACGUAGGGUGCAAGCGUUAAUCGGAAUUACUGGGCGUAAAGCGUGCGCAGGCGGUUUGCUAAGACCGAUGUGAAAUCCCCGGGCUCAACCUGGGAACUGCAUUGGUGACUGGCAGGCUAGAGUAUGGCAGAGGGGGGUAGAAUUCCACGUGUAGCAGUGAAAUGCGUAGAGAUGUGGAGGAAUACCGAUGGCGAAGGCAGCCCCCUGGGCCAAUACUGACGCUCAUGCACGAAAAGCGUGGGGGAGCAAAACAGGAUUAGAUACCCUGGUAGUCCACGCCCUAAAACAAUGUCAACUAGUUGUUGGGGAUUCAUUUUCCUUAGUAACGUAGCUAACGCGUGAAGUUGACCGCCUGGGGAGUACGGUCGCAAGAUUAAAACUCAAAUGAAUUGACGGGGUCAUAGCUGUUUCCU